GAUGAACGCUGGCGGCGUGCCUAAUACAUGCAAGUCGAGCGAACAGACGAGGAUCUUGCUCCUCUGACUUUAGCGGCGGACGUUUUAGUUACACGUGGAUAACCUACCUUUAAGACUGUGAUAACUUCGGGAAACCGUAUCUAAUACCGGAUAAUAUAUUGAACCGCAUGGUUCAAUAGUUAAAUACGGUUUUGCUGUCACUUAUAGAUGUAUCCUCGCCGAAUUAGCUAGUUGUUAAGUUAACGGCUUACCAAGGCAACGAUGCGUAGCCGACAUGAGAGGGUGAUCGUGCAAACUGGAACUGGAAGACGGUCCAGACUCCUACAGGAGGAAGCAGUAGGGAAUCUUGCGCAAUGGGCGAAAGCUUGACGGAGCAACGCCGCGUGAGUGAUGAAGGUCUUCGGAUCGUAAAACACUGUUAUUAGGGAAGAACAAAUGUGUAAGUAAAUAUGCACGUAUUGACGGUACCUAAUCAGAAAGCAACGGCUAACUACGUG
This 497-nucleotide ribosomal RNA is filed under the name uncultured bacterium. RNAcentral describes it as "partial 16S ribosomal RNA". It matches the Rfam family "Bacterial small subunit ribosomal RNA", at positions 28 to 507 of the family's 1533-position model. The record is from RNAcentral.